RNAcentral lists this unclassified non-coding RNA (297 nucleotides) under plant metagenome. RNAcentral describes it as "partial contains small subunit ribosomal RNA and internal transcribed spacer 1". The stretch from base 1 to 46 matches the Rfam family "Eukaryotic small subunit ribosomal RNA", at positions 1786 to 1831 of the family's 1831-position model. The record is from RNAcentral.
AAGUCGUAACAAGGUUUCCGUAGGUGAACCUGCGGAAGGAUCAUUACCGAGUUAGGGUCUCCUCCGCGAGGCCCGACCUCCCAACCCUGUGUCUAAUAAACCUGUAUGUGUUGCUUCGGCGGACCGGCGUCUCUCUCUCUCGCUCGCGGGAGGGAUCGCCGCCGGGGAAAUCCACGGCUGUCAUGGCCGUCCCCUGGAGGGUGUUCGCCGAUGGCCCCAACCAAACAAAUUCCAAAUACGAACAAUAGUACAAAAACCUUCUGAAUCAGAUCUUUGAUAUAACAAUCAAAAACAAAA